This 160-nucleotide non-coding RNA is filed under the name Human adenovirus 2. The record is from RNAcentral. Lineage: Varidnaviria; Bamfordvirae; Preplasmiviricota; Pharingeaviricetes; Rowavirales; Adenoviridae.
AGCGGGCACUCUUCCGUGGUCUGGUGGAUAAAUUCGCAAGGGUAUCAUGGCGGACGACCGGGGUUCGAACCCCGGAUCCGGCCGUCCGCCGUGAUCCAUGCGGUUACCGCCCGCGUGUCGAACCCAGGUGUGCGACGUCAGACAACGGGGGAGCGCUCCU